This 487-nucleotide ribosomal RNA is filed under the name uncultured bacterium. RNAcentral describes it as "bacterial SSU rRNA". It matches the Rfam family "Bacterial small subunit ribosomal RNA", at positions 28 to 513 of the family's 1533-position model. The record is from RNAcentral.
GAUGAACGCUGGCUGUGUGCCUAAUACAUGCAUGUCGAACGAAGCACUUGUGCUUAGUGGCGAAUGGGUGAGUAACACGUACUUAAUCUACCUCUAGGUUUGGGACAACAAUUGGAAACGAUUGCUAAUACCGAAUAUUCCUUCUCUUCGCAUGGAGAGUUGGUAAAAGGCCCGUUUGGGUCGCCAAGAGAUGAGAGUGCGGUACAUUAGUUAGUUGGUAGGGUAAUGGCCUACCAAGACGAUGAUGUAUAGCGGGGUUGAGAAGCUGAACCGCCACACUGGGACUGAGAUACGGCCCAGACUCCUACGGGAGGCAGCAGUAGGGAAUAUUCCACAAUGAGCGAAAGCUUGAUGGAGCGACACAGCGUGCAGGAUGAAGGUCUUCGGAUUGUAAACUGCUGUUAUGAGGGAAGAAAAAACCGAUGUAGGAAAUGACAUCGGCUUGACGGUACCUUAUCAGAAAGCACCGGCAAACUAUGUGCCAGCC